Molecule: ribosomal RNA, 576 nt
Filed under: uncultured eukaryote
Lineage: Eukaryota
Description: bacterial SSU rRNA
Rfam family: Eukaryotic small subunit ribosomal RNA
Source: RNAcentral
UAAAAACCCCGACUUCGGAAGGGGUGUAUUUAUUAGAUACAAAACCAAUGCCCUUCGGGGCUCUUUGGUGAUUCAUGAUAACUAUACGAAUCGCACGGCCUUGCGCCGGCGAUGGUUCAUUCAAAUUUCUUCCCUAUCAACUUUCGAUGUUUGGGUAUUGGCCAAACAUGGUUGCAACGGGUAACGGAGGGUUAGGGCUCGACCCCGGAGAAGGAGCCUGAGAAACGGCUACUACAUCCAAGGAAGGCAGCAGGCGCGUAAAUUACCCAAUCUUGACACAAGGAGGUAGUGACAAUGUAAGUUACUGAGUGAUCAGUUUCAAACUAAAAAAUAAAUCGAAAUAGUGGCCUAACUCUUGCAUUUCUGUUUGGUAUUAACAGAAAUAACAAUGCCGGGCCUCUGUAGGUCUGGCAAUUGGAAUGAGAACAAUUUAAACCCCUUAACGAGGAACAAUUGGAGGGCAAGUCUGGUGCCAGCAGCCGCGGUAAUUCCAGCUCCAAUAGCGUAUAUUAAAGUUGUUGUGGUUAAAAAGCUCGUAGUUGAACCUUGGGCCUGGCUGGCCGGUCCGCCUCACCG